GCGGUACUAGCUCAGUUGGUAGAGCGCAACCUUGCCAAGGUUGAGGUCAAGAGUUCGAGCCUCUUGUACCGCUCCA
This 76-nucleotide transfer RNA is filed under the name Moritella yayanosii. RNAcentral's name for it is "tRNA-Gly". It matches the Rfam family "tRNA". Rfam says of the family: Transfer RNA (tRNA) molecules are approximately 80 nucleotides in length. Their secondary structure includes four short double-helical elements and three loops (D, anti-codon, and T loops). RNAcentral also lists the same sequence under 13 other names. Lineage: Bacteria; Pseudomonadati; Pseudomonadota; Gammaproteobacteria; Alteromonadales; Moritellaceae. The record is from RNAcentral.